GGGAGCCGGAGGGAAACCGAGUCUUAAUUGGGCGUUAAGUUGCAGGGUAUAGACCCGAAACCCGGUGAUCUAGCCAUGGGCAGGUUGAAGGUUGGGUAACACUAACUGGAGGACCGAACCGACUAAUGUUGAAAAAUUAGCGGAUGACCUGUGGCUGGGGGUGAAAGGCCAAUCAAACCGGGAGAUAGCUGGUUCUCCCCGAAAGCUAUUUAGGUAGCGCCUCGUGAAUUCAUCUCCGGGGGUAGAGCACUGUUUCGGCUAGGGGGCCAUCCCGGCUUACCAACCCGAUGCAAACUGCGAAUACCGGAGAAUGUUAUCACGGGAGACACACGGCGGGUGCUAACGUCCGUCGUGAAGAGGGAAACAACCCAGACCGCCAGCUAAGGUCCCAAAGUCAUGGUUAAGUGGGAAACGAUGUGGGAAGGCCCAGACAGCCAGGAUGUUGGCUUAGAAGCAGCCAUCAUUUAAAGAAAGCGUAAUAGCUCACUGGUCGAGUCGGCCUGCGCGGAAGAUGUAACGGGGCUAAACCAUGCACCGAAGCUGCGGCAGCGACACUGUGUGUUGUUGGGUAGGGGAGCGUUCUGUAAGCCUGUGAAGGUGUGUCGUGAGGCAUGCUGGAGGUAUCAGAAGUGCGAAUGCUGACAUAAGUAACGAUAAAGCGGGUGAAAAGCCCGCUCGCCGGAAGACCAAGGGUUCCUGUCCAACGUUAAUCGGGGCAGGGUGAGUCGACCCCUAAGGCGAGGCCGAAAGGCGUAGUCGAUGGGAAACGGGUUAAUAUUCCCGUACUUGGUGUUACUGCGAAGGGGGGACGGAGAAGGCUAUGUUGGCCGGGCGACGGUUGUCCCGGUUUAAGCGUGUAGGUGUGUGUUCCAGGUAAAUCCGGUUCACUUUAACACUGAGGCGUGACGACGAGGCACUACGGUGCUGAAGCAACAAAUGCCCUGCUUCCAGGAAAAGCCUCUAAGCAUCAGGUAACAUCAAAUCGUACCCCAAACCGACACAGGUGGUCAGGUAGAGAAUACCAAGGCGCUUGAGAGAACUCGGGUGAAGGAACUAGGCAAAAUGGUGCCGUAACUUCGGGAGAAGGCACGCUGACACGUAGGUGAAGUGAUUUACUCAUGGAGCUGAAGUCAGUCGAAGAUACCAGCUGGCUGCAACUGUUUAUUAAAAACACAGCACUGUGCAAACACGAAAGUGGACGUAUACGGUGUGACGCCUGCCCGGUGCCGGAAGGUUAAUUGAUGGGGUCAGCGCAAGCGAAGCUCCUGAUCGAAGCCCCGGUAAACGGCGGCCGUAACUAUAACGGUCCUAAGGUAGCGAAAUUCCUUGUCGGGUAAGUUCCGACCUGCACGAAUGGCGUAAUGAUGGCCAGGCUGUCUCCACCCGAGACUCAGUGAAAUUGAACUCGCUGUGAAGAUGCAGUGUACCCGCGGCAAGACGGAAAGACCCCGUGAACCUUUACUAUAGCUUGACACUGAACAUUGAGCCUUGAUGUGUAGGAUAGGUGGGAGGCUUUGAAGUGUGGACGCCAGUCUGCAUGGAGCCGACCUUGAAAUACCACCCUUUAAUGUUUGAUGUUCUAACGUGGACCCGUUACCCGGGUUGCGGACAGUGUCUGGUGGGUAGUUUGACUGGGGCGGUCUCCUCCUAAAGAGUAACGGAGGAGCACGAAGGUUGGCUAAUCCUGGUCGGACAUCAGGAGGUUAGUGCAAUGGCAUAAGCCAGCUUGACUGCGAGCGUGACGGCGCGAGCAGGUGCGAAAGCAGGUCAUAGUGAUCCGGUGGUUCUGAAUGGAAGGGCCAUCGCUCAACGGAUAAAAGGUACUCCGGGGAUAACAGGCUGAUACCGCCCAAGAGUUCAUAUCGACGGCGGUGUUUGGCACCUCGAUGUCGGCUCAUCACAUCCUGGGGCUGAAGUAGGUCCCAAGGGUAUGGCUGUUCGCCAUUUAAAGUGGUACGCGAGCUGGGUUUAGAACGUCGUGAGACAGUUCGGUCCCUAUCUGCCGUGGGCGCUGGAGAACUGAGGGGGGCUGCUCCUAGUACGAGAGGACCGGAGUGGACGCAUCACUGGUGUUCGGGUUGUCAUGCCAAUGGCACUGCCCGGUAGCUAAAUGCGGAAGAGAUAAGUGCUGAAAGCAUCUAAGCACGAAACUUGCCCCGAG
Molecule: ribosomal RNA, 2161 nt
Filed under: Salmonella enterica
Lineage: Bacteria; Pseudomonadati; Pseudomonadota; Gammaproteobacteria; Enterobacterales; Enterobacteriaceae
Also listed under: 1 other name
Description: partial 23S ribosomal RNA
Rfam family: Bacterial large subunit ribosomal RNA
Source: RNAcentral